GAAAAGAUGGAAAGCAAUUUAUAAAAUAAUCUGAUAUAUUUCUGGCAUUUAAGAAUUAAAAGAUUCAAGCACCAAUAAUUAAUUCCCUUAAAUUAUUACUGUAAAUGGCAUAAUUACUGGAGUAGUAUUUGGAGAAGGAAAUAUUCAUCGAGCUACGAAAACUUCUAUAAUAAAUCUAACAAGAUAAGGGAUCAUUUCUCAUACGGCAUCGUUAUUAGGAGUCCAUUUUUCAAGUGUUAAGAUGCAUAAAAUAGGGAAGAGGAGAAGGUAAGUACAAAGAAGAAUGGAAAUAUUAAAGUAUGGAUAACUAAGAAGAAUAAAAACAGAAAUAAGAAGAUAAGAAUUGAUGGAAAUAUCAAGCAUAUUGUAUAAAAAUAUUAAAUAUAAGCCUUAAAGAAUAGUCAUUCAGGUAAACUCGUGAACUGAAUUCUUUAAAGCUUCGUAAUUUGUGAAUCGAAGAAGAAGAAGAAUCGCAUUUGGAAUUGUUUUUAAAAUAAAAUUUGAUAUUUGAAGCUGCUUACGUUCAAAUUAUGCAAAUUGUGGCUUCUGGAUCUGAAUGUUGGACACAUCUGGAUGUUCAGUACAAGUACAUGUAUCAUUAUUAUUAAAUGUGAUACUUUUACAGACAGGGAGUACUGAACAGAUUUCCACUUGGCUGUAAUUACAGUGCUUCAAGAGAUUCUAGUUUGACAAGCACUGAUGUUAAUUAGUUGCAGAUUUAUUUUGAAAAAGGAAGAAGAAGAAGAAAAAAAUCACGAGGAAAAAGUGCCCGUCUUGGGAAAUUAAAGAAUAUUAUUCGAUAAAACAAUAGGGAAUUUGGCAAUUAAUUUUGAUUCAAUUAAAGAGAUUCCAGCAAACCGUCCGAGAAAAGUGAAAAAAUUUUUUUUUA
Centruroides sculpturatus (bark scorpion) is the source of this 889-nucleotide long non-coding RNA. RefSeq lists it as uncharacterized. The transcript is spliced from 7 exons. NCBI's taxonomy places the organism in Eukaryota, Metazoa, Arthropoda, Arachnida, Scorpiones, Buthidae. The record is from RefSeq and is a predicted model, not a curated record.